AUAAUAAAUUAGAAACUUAAAAUUUAAAAUUUAAAUUUUGACAAUUCAAGAAUUUGAGUUAAAAUUUUAAAAAUAAUGUAUUGAAAGAAUUUGGGAGAUUGGAGGGGUAAAUUUAUAAUUUUACAUAAUAUGUAAAAUAACGUGCAAUUAGUAAUACGACAUGCCCAUCUCCCCACUCAGUAAUAUUUUCAGAAUAAUUAUGUAUCAUUUGUAAUGCUACAUUACCGAAGAGAUUACAAACUAAAUGAACCAAACGCAACAAUUUUGGCAUGAUUGCAUGUAAUCCUGACAGGAUAAUCCGAACCAAACACACUAAAAGAUAAUUUUGGAGUAGACUAUACUUUAUUCUUAGGAUUGCUGAAUGUUAUAAAAUGAGUCAAAUAUAGUAAUUCGAUAUACACUCUAUAUUAAACAAAACACGGUAAUGCAACGUCAAUAUUAAUCCGAUUCAAAAAUCUCAAAUAUCUACUACAUAAUGCAAACAGUAUAUCUUACAUCUUCACCACAAAAUAUAAUUCUUUUACACUAGUUAUUUUACUGUAUAUUUUUUACUACUAAACAUCUAAAAUGAUGCAUCCGAUCUCUUGGAUAGUGAAAUGUGAGAGAUCUAUUUUCUAUAUAUAUACAUAUAUAGGGUCCGGCUACUAUACUAUUAUGAGUACGAUCGCCCUCGUACUCAUAAGUUGUUUUCGAUGAUAGAGCUUCCGAAUCGACGAUCCACACCGUUAAACGUUAUUUACAGCAUUUAAAACUGCUAGAAAUUAAAUUUUAUAAUUUUUCGACAUCAUUUACCUUACGAUCAAGAGGUCACCAAUUUGACAAUUUUUAACGGCCGGUAUGGGAUACUUGCUAGUUUAACGGUGUAAAAGAAUCGGAAUUUGUUGAAUUUUUGGUAGAAAAUUCUAUUCACUACAUAGAUAAAGAUCAAUAACUCCGAUCUUGAAUUGAAGAAUCCGAUCAUCCUUUUUUAGAACGUCGUUCGAUUUUGACCGUUCAUUUUAUGCCCACUUGAUGGACU
RNAcentral lists this long non-coding RNA (1018 nucleotides) under Ananas comosus (pineapple). Its description in RNAcentral is "long non-coding RNA (ACOM_LNC002377)". The record is from RNAcentral. Lineage: Eukaryota; Viridiplantae; Streptophyta; Magnoliopsida; Poales; Bromeliaceae.